RNAcentral lists this long non-coding RNA (587 nucleotides) under Phascolarctos cinereus (koala). RNAcentral describes it as "lncRNA (ENSPCIG00000033031.1)". Lineage: Eukaryota; Metazoa; Chordata; Mammalia; Diprotodontia; Phascolarctidae. The record is from RNAcentral.
GAAUGCUGACUAUUUGACAAACCAGAGAAAUGCACCUUUGACUGCAAGACUGUUAAAUUCCUGGCCCAGCUAUCUUCCCGGAAGGACUUCAAAUGGACCUUUACAAGUUAUCUACAAUGAUAGACUAAGAACAACCUACCAAGGAAAUGUUAAUGAAAACUAGUACUGAGACUGCUGAAGUUUUCAUUGGAAACAACAGAAUUCUUUGAUUUACCAUCUUCCCCUGUAAUGGAACAGAUAUUUUUGGUGAUAGUUGACCACCAUUUAGAGAUGGACAUAGGUAAGUUGUAUAUAUUUUUUGAAGAAUAGGCCAAAUUAUGUGGCUUUAGAAGCAUUUAUCCUUCAUCUUUCAAAAGGUUAAAAAUUUUAAAGUUAGACUUAUACUUUGGUAGAAGCAAAUGUUAAAUUAUUGAUAUUUUGUUAGAAGUACUUGAGAAGAUAUGAUAUUGUUUGUGGUAUAUAAAGUGUACCUCACAGCUAAACACUUUGUGUAGGAGAAUUGGGCAGAGGAAGAGUACUGGAAAAUUAUUUUAAAAUGUUUUCAAAACAUUCUGAUCAGAAAUAAAAAUGUUCUGGGAUAUUAACCA